CCUACGGGAGGCUGCAGUGGGGAAUAUUGGGCAAUGGGCGCAAGCCUGACCCAGCAACGCCGCGUGAAGGAAGAAGGCUUUCGGGUUGUAAACUUCUUUUCUUAGGGACGAAGAAUGUGACGGUUCCUCAGUAAUAAGCCACGUCUAACUACGUGCCAGCAGCCGCGGUAAUACGUAGGUGGCAAGCGUUAUCCGGAUUUAUUGGGUGUACAGGGCGUGUAGGCGGGAAAGCAAGUCAGAUGUGAAAACUCAGGGCUCAACCCUGAGCCUGCAUUGGAAACUGUUUUUCUUGAGUGCUGGAGAGGCGAUCGGAAUUCCGUGUGUAGCGGUGAAAUGCGUAGAUAUACGGAGGAACACCAGUGGCGAAGGCGGAUUGCUGGACAGUAACUGACGCUGAGGCGCGAAAGCGUGGGGAGCAAACAGGAUUAGAUACCCUUGUAGUC
Molecule: ribosomal RNA, 443 nt
Filed under: uncultured bacterium
Lineage: Bacteria
Description: partial 16S ribosomal RNA
Rfam family: Bacterial small subunit ribosomal RNA
Source: RNAcentral